This 75-nucleotide transfer RNA is filed under the name Streptomyces ziwulingensis. RNAcentral's name for it is "tRNA-Met". It matches the Rfam family "tRNA". Rfam says of the family: Transfer RNA (tRNA) molecules are approximately 80 nucleotides in length. Their secondary structure includes four short double-helical elements and three loops (D, anti-codon, and T loops). Lineage: Bacteria; Bacillati; Actinomycetota; Actinomycetes; Kitasatosporales; Streptomycetaceae. RNAcentral also lists the same sequence under 1 other name. The record is from RNAcentral.
AGCCAGGAUAGUUUAAUAGGUUAAAACUUUAAUUUCAUAUAUUAAUAAUGAGAAUUCGAUUUUCUCUCCCGGCUA